UUGGUUAAUGUGGCCCACAUUACCACAUCUACACAACUAUCAAUUGUGAAAUUUCAAAUAAUAGAAACACUGUUUGGUAUGCAUUUUCAUUCCCAUUUUAAGUGCCUAGAAUGGGCUACUGCAUGGUCUCAUUCUGGAAUGCGCCAAAAAGCCCAUUUUGAGUUAUCAUUCUUGUAAAAAGUGGGCCUCUUCAAAGUUCAAACCUCUUAGCAUACACAGUUGAGUUGCAGUUGGCAUCACCCAACCUCUUAGCCUUCGACACCAGCAACUAUUCUGAAAUCCAGAUUAGCUCAUCCACCUCUCAAGGAAACGAGGAAUCAAGGCAGACCUUGCACUAGUUGUGAUGAAGAAUCUUGCUCUCAUCACGGCAAUGUGUAAAAAGAACAAGCUCAAGAUGACGAGCUUUAGGCUCCUCUAAUGUGGCAGUGUGGGAGAACCUCCGCUGUUGAAAGGUGGCCACCUGCCAAUGUGGAGGAAGCAUGUGGAUCUGCAAUACCGUUGAUUCCAUUACGUCUAGAUGGAAGAUGCAGAUAGUAUCCAAGGUGCAACACUUGUGGUUGUUUGCCUAUUCGGACCACUAUUUCCAGCAGACUGUGAUGUGAGGAUGCCAUUCUGCAUGGCAUGAAAUGCCCCGAUUGCUAUGGUCUCUGAAUCAAAGUCAAUGACAGUCCUCCCUCCUAGUGAAACUGAGAUGAUGUCUACUCCAUCCGCAAUGGCAUCAUCAAAAGCAGCAAGGAUAUCACUUCCAGCGCAACCUUCUGGAUUGCAAACUUUGUAAGCUGCAAUCCUUGCUGAUGGUACACCUCCCAGUGCAUUCCCUUGGGCUACUCCAUAAAAGCUCGCAUUAGAUACUAAGUUACCGGCAAUUGUGGAGGCAGUAUGUGUCCCAUGUCCUUCUGUAUCCCUCACUGAAUUACUUUCAUUAGAGUAAAAUCGUGCACCAAUGAUCUUGCUGUAAAAGAUUCAUGGAAAAUUGUUGAGAUUAAUCUAUCACAUCACUGCAUAUCA
This is a long non-coding RNA of Macadamia integrifolia, 1008 nucleotides long. RefSeq lists it as uncharacterized. The transcript has 2 exons. The record is from RefSeq and is a predicted model, not a curated record. Lineage: Eukaryota; Viridiplantae; Streptophyta; Magnoliopsida; Proteales; Proteaceae.